AACUUAUAAUUUCAUAUUUUUAACUUUUGACAGUGAGGUAAAUAUGCUGAUUGUUGUGGCUCGUGUAGAUUAAAUGUUUAUGUGACUUUAAUGAUGCUGAGAAGGGAUUUUUGGCAUUGAAUAAAACAAUAUCUGAGCGUGAAACAUCAAAAAAGAGCUCAAAAAGAUUGUUUGGAAGGCUCUUCUACCUCGCACUUCCUUCGUCAGUUUGCGAGAUUUUCGUACGUAAAAAAAAAAUUGCAACAAUGAAGAACAAUUGGCUCUAUUCCAAUCAGUGCAUGUCAACGUCCUGCUGAAUAUCAGGAGCGUUUGCAUGAAAAGCAAAUAUUAAUAGGCUUUAAUUGUGAGGGGAUGACCUUUGUCACUGUGGGUCUCUAUGCAUCAUGCAGGAUUAUUUAAAUUUCAUUAUCGAGACCACGGUACCAAUUUCUUCAUUUUUGAACAACAUUUUUAUGAAAUCAACUAUCUCAACUUUCUUUGAAGGUUUGAAUUGCUUACAAAUUUUUGCGGACACUUGAGUGUAUCAAUAUGAAAAAUGCAACGCAAUAUUUUGAUACGUUAACAUUAUCUUAAAAAUAACAUAGCUCGUGUAUUGCACGGGCAAUAGACUAGUGUGUGUGUG
Molecule: long non-coding RNA, 622 nt
Filed under: Olea europaea subsp. europaea
Lineage: Eukaryota; Viridiplantae; Streptophyta; Magnoliopsida; Lamiales; Oleaceae
Source: RNAcentral